ACCUAGCUGGUUCAGUAGGAAGAGCAUGGGACUCUUGAUCUCAGAGUUGUGAGUUCAAGCCCCAUGCUGGGUG
This 73-nucleotide transfer RNA is filed under the name Canis lupus familiaris (dog). It matches the Rfam family "tRNA". From Rfam's summary of the family: Transfer RNA (tRNA) molecules are approximately 80 nucleotides in length. Their secondary structure includes four short double-helical elements and three loops (D, anti-codon, and T loops). Further hydrogen bonds mediate the characteristic L-shaped molecular structure. tRNAs have two regions of fundamental functional importance: the anti-codon, which is responsible for specific mRNA codon recognition, and the 3' end, to which the tRNAs corresponding amino acid is attached (by aminoacyl-tRNA synthetases). tRNAs cope with the degeneracy of the genetic code in two manners: having more than one tRNA (with a specific anti-codon) for a particular amino acid; and 'wobble' base-pairing, i.e. permitting non-standard base-pairing at the 3rd anti-codon position. The record is from Rfam by way of RNAcentral. RNAcentral also lists the same sequence under 2 other names. Lineage: Eukaryota; Metazoa; Chordata; Mammalia; Carnivora; Canidae.